RNAcentral lists this long non-coding RNA (2592 nucleotides) under Oryza sativa (Asian cultivated rice). RNAcentral describes it as "long non-coding RNA (OSAT_LNC001441)". Lineage: Eukaryota; Viridiplantae; Streptophyta; Magnoliopsida; Poales; Poaceae. The record is from RNAcentral.
UUAAAUUUCAUUUUGAACCUUUUACUGCAAAAAGAAGGGAUUAAAAAUGAUACGUGAUUGAGCCUAAAAGCCUAAUAAGAAUCUGGGGGCUCUUCAUGGUGGAAAUUGUUAGUCAUGCAAACACAUUAGGCCUAAGGGCUACCUUGAUAUUGUUUCUUAGUUUUUCAUACUGAAUUAGAUCGUGGUAGAUGGUAGUUUCUGGUGUGUGCACAACAAAAGAUAUGCUGUUCAGAAUAUACAUUUAUCAAAACUACAGCAUAUCUGAAACUGAAAGUAUAUACAUUUUUCAUACUGAAUUAGAUAGUGGUAGAUGGUAAUUUCUGGUAUCUGCACAACGUAGGGUAUGCGCACAAUAAAAUUCUAUACUUUCACAUUUGUGCAGUGUAAUAUGUAUCCUCUAGCCUCUUUUUCAUUCACUUGAAAUCAUUAUGAUACCAACAAUAGCCUGGAAACAUUACAUAUCCAUCUCAGAGCAGCGUCAAAAAAAUUGACAGUACAACGCCCGCGUCACUCGCCCUAGGGCGACACGGGCGGCGACACCGCGCGCGCCGCCACAAACUUCUCCUCCUCCCCUCCGCCUCGCCGCCGCCCGAGCAGCCGCCGGCAAAGCCGUGCGGCGGCAAGGAUGGCGGCGGCGGGGCCUUCUCCCUCUCUCGAGAAGCGCGGCUGGGGCACCGGCGGGACCCGAGCGAAGCGGACGGCGGCGACAGUGUCCGGCGCCAUCUGGGCCAAAUGCGGCGGAUCCGGCUCCGCCGGAGGUGGAUCUGGCCCUGUCGCGGCCAGAUCGGGAGGGGCAUGCCGCUCCUGGCAGGAGGCGGCGUGGGAGGCGGCGACCGCGACCGUUGGUGGGGGGGACGACGGAUCCGGCCACUCUGGCGGCAGAUCCAGUCCCCCCGGAUGGCUGCGGCCGGCAGGCGGAGGUGGCCGACGCCGAGGAGGUUUGCGGCGGAAGGCAGUGGCGACGGCGACCGACGGAGAAGCGAGGGCGGCGACGGCGACCGACGGAGUCGAGAGGGCGGCAACAGCAGCCGACGGAGACGCGUAGGCGGCGGCAGCGGCUGGUCGGCGGGACCGGCGACGGCGUGCAUGGCGCGACGCGCGCGAGAUCCGGUGAUGCUGGAGGCGGGGUGGGAGAUGGUGGCAGGGCACGGUGGCGGUGCUGGCGGCGGGGUGGGGGCUGGUGGCGGGGCUGAGUGGUGGCGGCGGUGGAGCUUGGUGGUGAUGGCGGCGGCGGAGCCCAAGCUGCGGUGGGCAGCCAACGCCGCGCGACAGCUGGGCGUCUGGCUUCCCCCGGGCAAGAUCCGAUCCCCUCCACCGGAUUUGGGGCGAGAGCAUCGUGCUUCGGUGGACGUUCUAGUGCCGCGUCAUUUUGGACGGCGGGUGCACUGUGGCGGAGGGGUCAACAGCACGGUGCGGAGGGUGGCAUGGCGCCGGUGUAACGGUCUGGUGGUCCGAGGUGACAUGGACAACGGAUUCGUGGCGGAGCCGGCGGUUACUCUGUCAGGGGGAGCCGCGGUCCUCUCGACGUGCACCUUCCUAGACAUAUGUCCUCUUGCGACGGCGACUUUGUCGGCAAAAGUUGGCCACGUCGUGCGGGCUAGUGUGGGGGAGAGGGCAUCCAUUCUUCUCUCUCACCCUCUCCCCAUCCAACCCAACUGCGUGGAUGGAGCCGGUGUGUGUCGAGGUUCGAGCUUCCCCAUGGCGAUUGACUGGCGGCGUGGUGCCGGUGCGGUGGCCAUGCGUCGAAGGUUUUCGCUGGUGGUGGCUGCGGAGCGUGUAGGAGUUCAGUUCUUGGGAGAGACAAAUUUUGGGCGAAAGCUCUGCCUUCGAGCCGGCAACAACGACGCCUGUGGGUGCCGUUUUUUCCUCUUGGGGUGUUGCCGCUUUUCUUGUCUCUCCCAAUUACUUUCUUCAGGUGAAAACCUUGUCCUGGCCCUCCGGGACAGGCGACAGCGGCACUUUUGGUGUCGUACCCUUCUUGAAGGUGUCGUCUCGAAGACCUUCAGUUUUGCUCAUGCAGUGGGUUUUGUUGUAGACGCGCGGUGUGGUUGUAUUUUCUUUUUUUGUCUGUGGUCUUCUAGGACUAUAGAUUGUAUUUUUCUCCUGCUUUAUCAAUACAUGAAACUCGCACUGUCUUGUGUGGCUCGUUUCAAAAACAAUAGCCUGGAAUUUAAAUAAAUCAAGAGAAGUUUCAGUUUUGAGAAAAUCGUCUUGUUAACUUCUUCCUAAAGAGAGAAAGGAAGUGUCCUGUUAGACUCAAUUAUUUCCCCCAAAAAAAUUAUUGCUUAUUACUGUAUCUGAGUUGUUAAAAAGGUUUGGUGAGGUCUCCAGUGCCUUCUACUGUUCUACAAGUUACUGGAAGGUUGUUCAUGAUCUGGGGCAUCUUGUGGAGCUUCCCUGAGGUAAUAUCAGGACCUUACUCCAAGUUAUAAGAAGGUUUAUAUCUUAAAAACAAGUUCUGGAUUAGAAAGCACUUCUUAGAAUGACAAAACAUUGAUGUUAGGUAAUGUUGCAGCUAUAAGAGCAUAUCCCAUACUUUCAUUUAUGGUCAUAAUGGCUCUAGUAGGCAUUGGAUAAACCGAAGCUGCUGAA